RNAcentral lists this ribosomal RNA (213 nucleotides) under uncultured bacterium. Its description in RNAcentral is "partial 16S ribosomal RNA". It matches the Rfam family "Bacterial small subunit ribosomal RNA", at positions 523 to 729 of the family's 1533-position model. The record is from RNAcentral.
UGACAGAGGUCCCGAGCGUUGUUCGGAUUCAUUGGGCGUAAAGGGUGCGUAGGCGGCUUUCCGUAAGUUUGAUGUGAAAUCCUGGGGCUCAACCCUGGAACUGCAUUGAAUACUGGGAAGGCUAGAGAACUGGAGAGGAGACGUGGAAAUUUGACGGUGUAGCAGUGAAAUGCGUAGAGAUCGUAAGGAAGACCAGUGGCGAAGGCGAGUCUC